GGCGAUUCUCGGUUUCUGGGGGCGA
RNAcentral lists this non-coding RNA (25 nucleotides) under Mus musculus (house mouse). Lineage: Eukaryota; Metazoa; Chordata; Mammalia; Rodentia; Muridae. The record is from RNAcentral.